This is a long non-coding RNA of Herpailurus yagouaroundi (jaguarundi), 1585 nucleotides long. RefSeq lists it as uncharacterized. The transcript is spliced from 3 exons. Lineage: Eukaryota; Metazoa; Chordata; Mammalia; Carnivora; Felidae. The record is from RefSeq and is a predicted model, not a curated record.
UGGGUCCCUCAUCUGGGCCGCAGGCCUGUGUGUUUUGAGGGGGUGAAGCACUGAGCUGUUCGGCCAGCCUUAGCCUGAGUACUCCACAUUCCCUCUCCUCUUCCCUAUGGUGAUUACUGAGCCAAAGCCCGAGUGGGUGAAGCCAGCCCAUCUUGGGUCUUCCGUCUGAUUUCUCUUUUAGUUUAAUAAUAGGGAAGCUCUCAUCCAAGUAUGAGGAUUACUCCUCCUACCUGAAAACUACAACUUCCCUGUUGUCUGUUUGUUGUUAAGCCCACCACAUGGUUCCUGUAUGGGUUAUAUGUGGCUGUAUAGCGGAUUAUCCCAAAAUGUGGUAGCUUAACACAGUGUUUAUUACCUUGUGGUUUCUGUGGGUCAGGAAUCUAGGCUCAGCUGGGUGGCUCUGGCUCAUGGUGGGUCUCUCAUGAGAUUACAGUCAAGAUAUUGGCCAGCUCUGGAGUCAUCUGAGGUCUUGACUGGGGCUAGGGGGUCUGCUUUCAAGAAGGCUCACUCUCAUGGCUGUCGCAGGAGGCCUCAGUUUCUCAACGCCUGGACCUCUCUGUAAGGAAGCUUGAGUGUCAUUACCGCGUGGCAGCUAGCUUACCCCAGAACGAGUGAUCUGAGAGUGAGAGCAAGCAGGAAGUCACAGUUCCUUGUGUGACCUAGUCUCAGAAGUUGCACAUUGUCGUGUAUGCUUUGCUCUGUUAGUUGGAUGUGAGUCACUAAGUUUAGCAGACCCCACCUCUUGAAGGGAGGAGUGUGAAAGAACUUGGGCACAUUUUAAAACCACCACAGCUCCUGAGGGCCUACCGCGUGCUGGGCACUAGAGGUGGUUCAGGGGAUCCAAGGCAUGGACCACCGUCUGCCCUCCAGAAGUUUACAUCUGCUUGGGGAGUGUCUGCUUUCUUCCAUGAAGAUGUGGAUGCUUUGAGGGACACCUGCCCAAUCCCUCCUCUGCACAGGCCCAGACGGUGGCCAAGCUGGGUUUUAGGAAGCUGAACGAUCUGGGACAUCCAGCCAUACCUGAAAUCUCCCAUUACAGCUCUCUUCUUGGGUGAAGACUCCACAGGCACCCAGGAAGCUCUUUGAAAAUGCACACAGGAAAAGAAAAAAGGCCACAGGAAUGCAACCUGACAACUGUCUCAGCCUCCAAGUGUUGGAUUGCCGUGGACUCAGCCGCUGAGUAAAUUAGCUUUGCCACGAAGGCAACCACAGAACGCUGGUCCUAUCCAAGCCACAUUUAUGGUGCUCCCCGCUGCGAUUUGAGGCCUGUCUGCCGAGCUUCCUGCCUCUUGGCCUUCCCGCCGCUCUUUGUGCUGAUGCCAUGCUUCCAAGAGCAGCUUUCAGACCAACUUUAGGUUUUGCUUACUUUGCCGGUGAACAUCCUGCUCGUUUUAUUUUGUGGUUGGUUUUUAUAAGGAAAAAAAAAAUUUUAAGUACAUAUUUUUCAGACAACUGUGUUGAGGGGUAUUUGAGAUACAAUAAAUUGCACACUUUUGAAAGUGUGUAACUUAAUCCAUUUUAACAUAUGUAUAAACUUUGUGAGAUUACCAUCGAAAUCAUAAUAAACAUUUCUAUCAUCCCCGGA